UACGGAGGGGGCUAGCGUUGUUCGGAAUUACUGGGCGUAAAGCGCACGUAGGCGGCUUUGUAAGUUAGAGGUGAAAGCCCGGGGCUCAACCCCGGAAUAGCCUUUAAGACUGCAUUGCUUGAACGUCGGAGAGGUGAGUGGAAUUCCGAGUGUAGAGGUGAAAUUCGUAGAUAUUCGGAAGAACACCAGUGGCGAAGGCGGCUCACUGGACGACUGUUGACGCUGAGGUGCGAAAGCGUGGGGAGCAAACAGG
This 253-nucleotide ribosomal RNA is filed under the name uncultured bacterium. RNAcentral describes it as "partial 16S ribosomal RNA". It matches the Rfam family "Bacterial small subunit ribosomal RNA", at positions 524 to 776 of the family's 1533-position model. The record is from RNAcentral.